AGUGAACGCUGGCGGUAGGCCUAACACAUGCAAGUCGAACGGCAGCACAGCAAGAGCUUGCUCUUACGGGUGGCGAGUGGCGGACGGGUGAGGAAUACAUCGGAAUCUACUUUUUCGUGGGGGAUAACGUAGGGAAACUUACGCUAAUACCGCAUACGACCUACGGGUGAAAGCAGGGGAUCUUCGGACCUUGCGCGAUUGAAUGAGCCGAUGUCGGAUUAGCUAGUUGGCGGGGUAAAGGCCCACCAAGGCGACGAUCCGUAGCUGGUCUGAGAGGAUGAUCAGCCACACUGGAACUGAGACACGGUCCAGACUCCUACGGGAGGCAGCAGUGGGGAAUAUUGGACAAUGGGCGCAAGCCUGAUCCAGCCAUACCGCGUGGGUGAAGAAGGCCUUCGGGUUGUAAAGCCCUUUUGUUGGGAAAGAAAAGCAGCAGGUUAAUACCCCGCUGUUCUGACGGUACCCAAAGAAUAAGCACCGGCUAACCUCGUG
This 492-nucleotide ribosomal RNA is filed under the name uncultured bacterium. Its description in RNAcentral is "partial 16S ribosomal RNA". It matches the Rfam family "Bacterial small subunit ribosomal RNA", at positions 29 to 507 of the family's 1533-position model. The record is from RNAcentral.